GGCCUAGCUGGCCGGUCCGCCUCACCGCGAGUACUGGACUGGCUGGGCCUUCCCUCCUGGGGAACCCCAUGGCCUUCACUGGCUGUGGCGGGGAACCAGGACUUUUACUGUGAAAAAAUUAGAGUGUUUAAAGCAGGCAUCCGCUUGAAUACAUUAGCAUGGAAUAACAGAAUAAGACUU
This 180-nucleotide ribosomal RNA is filed under the name uncultured Glomeromycotina. Its description in RNAcentral is "partial small subunit ribosomal RNA". Lineage: Eukaryota; Fungi; Glomeromycota. The record is from RNAcentral.